Non-coding RNA from Acanthosepion pharaonis, 96 nucleotides. The record is from the annotation of a GenBank genome assembly. NCBI's taxonomy places the organism in Eukaryota, Metazoa, Mollusca, Cephalopoda, Sepiida, Sepiidae.
AGAAACACCUGUUCUCGUACGAUCACCGAAGUUAAGCAGCGUCGAGCCUGGUCGGUUCUUAGAUGGGUGACCACUUGGGAAUACCAGGUGCUGUAA